UACGAAGGGGGCUAGCGUUGCUCGGAAUCACUGGGCGUAAAGCGCGUGUAGGCGGCCAUCUAAGUCGGGCGUGAAAUCCCACGGCUCAACCGUGGAAGUGCACUCGAAACUGGAUGGCUAGAGUCCUGGAGAGGAAGGUGGAAUGCUUGGUGUAGAGGUGAAAUUCGUAGAUAUCAAGCGGAACACCGGUGGCGAAGGCGGCCUUCUGGACAGUGACUGACGCUGAGACGCGAAAGCGUGGGGAGCAAACAGG
This 253-nucleotide ribosomal RNA is filed under the name uncultured bacterium. RNAcentral's name for it is "partial 16S ribosomal RNA". It matches the Rfam family "Bacterial small subunit ribosomal RNA", at positions 524 to 776 of the family's 1533-position model. The record is from RNAcentral.